CUAUCAUUAACUGAAUCCAUAGGUUAAUGAGGCGAACCGGGGGAACUGAAACAUCUAAGUACCCCGAGGAAAAGAAAUCAACCGAGAUUCCCCCAGUAGCGGCGAGCGAACGGGGAGGAGCCCAGAGCCUGAAUCAGCAUGUGUGUUAGUGGAAGCGUCUGGAAAGGCGCGCGAUACAGGGUGACAGCCCCGUACACAAAAGCGCAUGUGCUGUGAGCUCGAUGAGUAGGGCGGGACACGUGGUAUCCUGUCUGAAUAUGGGGGGACCAUCCUCCAAGGCUAAAUACUCCUGACUGACCGAUAGUGAACCAGUACCGUGAGGGAAAGGCGAAAAGAACCCCGGCGAGGGGAGUGAAAAAGAACCUGAAACCGUGUACGUACAAGCAGUGGGAGCCCCACCACCAAAGCAUUUGCUGUACCGCGUUGACGGAGCGAAGCG
Molecule: ribosomal RNA, 439 nt
Filed under: Salmonella enterica subsp. enterica serovar Enteritidis
Lineage: Bacteria; Pseudomonadati; Pseudomonadota; Gammaproteobacteria; Enterobacterales; Enterobacteriaceae
Description: partial 23S ribosomal RNA
Rfam family: Bacterial large subunit ribosomal RNA
Source: RNAcentral